RNAcentral lists this ribosomal RNA (253 nucleotides) under uncultured bacterium. RNAcentral describes it as "partial 16S ribosomal RNA". It matches the Rfam family "Bacterial small subunit ribosomal RNA", at positions 524 to 776 of the family's 1533-position model. The record is from RNAcentral.
UACGGAGGGUGCAAGCGUUAUCCGGAUUCACUGGGUUUAAAGGGUGCGUAGGUGGGUUGGUAAGUCAGUGGUGAAAUCUCCGUGCUUAACAUGGAAACUGCCAUUGAUACUACUGAUCUUGAAUUUUCUGGAGGUAAGCGGAAUAUGUCAUGUAGCGGUGAAAUGCUUAGAUAUGACAUAGAACGCCAAUUGCGAAGGCAGCUUGCUACAGGGAUAUUGACACUGAGGCACGAAAGCGUGGGGAUCAAACAGG